RNAcentral lists this ribosomal RNA (395 nucleotides) under uncultured bacterium. RNAcentral's name for it is "bacterial SSU rRNA". It matches the Rfam family "Bacterial small subunit ribosomal RNA", at positions 338 to 731 of the family's 1533-position model. The record is from RNAcentral.
CCUACGGGAGUCAGCAGUAAGGAAUAUUGGACAAUGCUCGCAAGAGUGAUCCAGCCAUGCCGCGUGCAGGAAGAAUGCCCUAUGGGUAGUAAACUGCUUUUGAACUAGAGAAAACCCCAGUACGUGUACUGGGCUGAUAGUAUAGUUAGAAUAAGCAUCGGCUAACUUCGUGCCAGCAGCCGCGGUAAGACGAAGGAUGCAAGCGUUAUCCGGAUUCAUUGGGUUUAAAGGGAGCGUAGGUGGACUGAUAAGUCAGUGGUGAAAUCUCCGAGCUUAACUCGGAAAUUGCCAUUGAUACUGUUGGUCUUGAGUACAGUUGCUGUGGGCGGAAUAUGACAUGUAGUGGUGAAAUCAUAGAGAUGUCAUAGAACACCGAUUGCGAAGGCAGCNCACAA